Oncorhynchus mykiss (rainbow trout) is the source of this 842-nucleotide non-coding RNA. The record is from RefSeq and is a predicted model, not a curated record. NCBI's taxonomy places the organism in Eukaryota, Metazoa, Chordata, Actinopteri, Salmoniformes, Salmonidae.
AAAGAAUAGGGAGAUUCUCCGCCCUCCAAAUACGUCCGCCUGGUCCAAGUGCCGGGAAUCCCAUUAUAUUAUUCACGAAUCGUUUGCAACCAACAGUAACAUCAUUAUCAUAUUAAGGAUUGGAUUAUUGUAAAGAUGUGGUAGUUGAUCAAUUCAGCAACGCGUUACUGUUGAAAUUAAAGCGAGAAAGUAUGUGAAGAACCAACACAGAAACUGCUAACGUUCGUGUGACCGUUCUCAAAGUCACUUACGUCACAGCCAGGAAGAAGCGAUAGCUCUGCUAGAGAAGUCCUUCGGAAGUGUUGUUUUGAUUAUACGGUGCAUUUCAGGGGUUUAUUCCCCUAUCUAAUCCGUUCUUGUAGAUGAAAGACAGGUGUUGGUGACACCAUGGCACCACUCCUGUUAUACCGCAUCGUCAGCUCCCUAACCUGCCAUCUAACCCAGAUCACCCUCAGCCGGAUCUACCCUAGCACUGCCACCACCAUCUCCCGCUGCCUCUCCUCCCUUACAUCCUACCCAGCCAGAGUACUCCUGACCCCGGGUAGACCCAUCCAGCCCCUGGCCUCUUCUCCUCGAUCUUCUCCCCAGGAUGGUGGCUCCCUCCUAGGCCAGUGUCAGCACCUGGCCUGCCUCCAGCCCACUUCAGGGAUGAAAACCAAGAGCGCUCUGAAACGGCGCUGUAAAGAUUGCUUCUUUGUGGUACGGCGGGGUCGUCUAUUUGUGUUCUGUAAGGCUCACCCCAGACACAAGCAGCGACAGGGGUGAUGAGGAGCAGGGGGUGUAUGGUCCUCGAAAUUGUUUGUUACUUGAAUUGCCACAUUAAAGUUUUUGACUGAUUGACC